This 492-nucleotide ribosomal RNA is filed under the name uncultured bacterium. RNAcentral describes it as "bacterial SSU rRNA". It matches the Rfam family "Bacterial small subunit ribosomal RNA", at positions 28 to 507 of the family's 1533-position model. The record is from RNAcentral.
GAUGAACGCUAGCGACAGGCUUAACACAUGCAAGUCGAGGGGCAGCAUGAACUUAGCUUGCUAAGUUUGAUGGCGACCGGCGCACGGGUGAGUAACACGUAUCCAACCUUCCGUUUACUCAGGGAUAGCCUUUCGAAAGAAAGAUUAAUACCUGAUAGUAUGGUGAGAUUGCAUGAUAGCACCAUUAAAGAUUUAUUGGUAAACGAUGGGGAUGCGUUCCAUUAGGUAGUAGGCGGGGUAACGGCCCACCUAGCCGACGAUGGAUAGGGGUUCUAAGAGGAAGGUCCCCCACAUUGGAACUGAGACACGGUCCAAACUCCUACGGGAGGCAGCAGUGAGGAAUAUUGGUCAAUGGGCGAGAGCCUGAACCAGCCAAGUAGCGUGAAGGAUGAAGGUCCUACGGAUUGUAAAACUUCUUUUAUACGGGAAUAAAGUUUCCUACGUGUAGGAUUUUGUAUGUACCGUAUGAAUAAGCAUCGGCUAAACUCCGUG